Molecule: ribosomal RNA, 524 nt
Filed under: uncultured bacterium
Lineage: Bacteria
Description: bacterial SSU rRNA
Rfam family: Bacterial small subunit ribosomal RNA
Source: RNAcentral
ACAUCCAGCGAACUUGGCAGAGAUGCCUUGGUGCCUUCGGGAACGCUGAGACAGGUGCUGCAUGGCUGUCGUCAGCUCGUGUUGUGAAAUGUUGGGUUAAGUCCCGCAACGAGCGCAACCCUUAUCCUUGUUGCCAGCGAUUCGGUCGGGAACUCAAAGGAGACUGCCGGUGAUAAACCGGAGGAAGGUGGGGAUGACGUCAAGUCAUCAUGGCCCUUACGAGUAGGGCUACACACGUGCUACAAUGGCGCAUACAAAGAGAAGCGACCUCGCGAGAGCAAGCGGACCUCAUAAAGUGCGUCGUAGUCCGGAUCGGAGUCUGCAACUCGACUCCGUGAAGUCGGAAUCGCUAGUAAUCGUGGAUCAGAAUGCCACGGUGAAUACGUUCCCGGGCCUUGUACACACCGCCCGUCACACCAUGGGAGUGGGUUGCAAAAGAAGUAGGUAGCUUAACCUUCGGGAGGGCGCUUACCACUUUGUGAUUCAUGACUGGGGUGAAGUCGUAACAAGGUAAGCGUAGCGAG